Molecule: long non-coding RNA, 2094 nt
Organism: Juglans microcarpa x Juglans regia
Lineage: Eukaryota; Viridiplantae; Streptophyta; Magnoliopsida; Fagales; Juglandaceae
Exons: 2
Source: RefSeq, a predicted model, not a curated record
CUCCUAAAUUUUUGCUAUUGUUGUGGGAGGUUGAGUCAUUCCAAUCGGGACUAUGAUUUGUGGCUAUCUAAGAGGGAAGUUGUUGAACGGGAGGGGUUUCCUUAUGGUUCUUGUCUGCAGGUAGAUGGUGGAACUAACAUGUCUCAUAGUUGUAAAAAUCCUUUCGUGGUCGAGUCACGCUCUGUUCCUGAGAACCCAUUAGCGGUUGGUAAUCACUUGGGGGAUGUCUCUUUGCUGCAAAAAAAAGUGUUGAUGCAUCCAUGUCCACUAUCUGUUGGUGGUUUGGUGAUGGAGUCAAAGGAGGAUGCAAUCACUACUGAGGGUAACUGCUUGCAGAGGUUGAAGAUGACAAAUUGGGGCUCUAUUCAACGAGGCUCCAGUAGUUUGGGCCUUCCUAGGCCUCCCAAUGACACCGAGACUGAUAAUGUUCUAACAUCAUCUAAUGGGCCUUUGAUUUUGACUAGGGCUUUUGAUGGUCCACAACCACUUACUUGGCCAAAAACCACACGAGUUAACUCAUGAAAGCUAAUUAGGGCUUCAUCUUUAAAGACGAAGGGGAAGGCGCGACGGAGGGGACUGCAUCUUCUCUGGAGAAUACAAGUAAGCGUUUGAUUUGCUUACCUUCUAAACGAAAUGUUUGAGUCUUGAUCUUCAACUAUGGAAUCACAGUUUUUUUGAUCUAAAUCGGAUCAAAUCCUCAGAUGAGGACCGUUUGCUGGAGGUUGAUAAUCAACACCGCCGACAACCAUGAAAGUUUUCAAUUGGAACUCCCGUGGACUUGGAAACGCACAGAGAGUUUGUGUACUUCACGACUUGGUCUGAAGAGAAGCUUCCAAUGUGGUUUUCAUGAUGGAGACCAAUUCUGCUGCAUGUUCAAUGGAAUGUCUAAAAUUUUUAUUGAGUUUUUCUAGUGUUUUGGUGGUGGAUUGUGCUGACCGUAGUGGAGGGUUGGUUUUAUUCUGGAAGGGGGACACUGAUUUAACUCUGUUAUCAUAUUCCAAGCAUCAUUUUGAUACUUGGGUGAUAGAUUGGGAUACUAGUUUGAAGAGUAGAAUUAUUGUUGUGUAUGGUCAUCCUAAUGUAUGGUCAUUCCUGAGGUUAGUCAUAGAAGUGCAAUGUGGAACUUAUUGAAGUCACUGUCGGUUCAAGAUCACAGUCCUUGGCUCUACUUUAGAGAUUUUAAUAAAAUUAUUUCUAAUUCAAAGAAGCAAGGGGGCAGGGUUCAUAUGGAGGGACAGAUGCAAGGUUUUCGUGAUGCACUAGAUUUUUGUGGACCGAAAGGGCUUGAUUUUGAGGGCUUUUUAUUUACUUGGUCUAACUUGAGAGAGGGGGAUGCACUUAUUAAAGAAUGCCUAGAUCAUUUUCUUGCUGCUCCAUAUUGGCUUUCUAUGUUCCCAAAUGAGUUAGAGUUUGGAAAGAAGCUAUCAUAAGGAGGCCCAUGUACAAGAGUUGAAACCCAUGAGGAUUCCUGGACUUGCAACCAAAGUCUUAAUUUAAACCCAAUAGAAGGCCAUGUGCAGAAUGAAAUGGGGCACACAUCUUAUGCCUCACGUCUCAUGCCUCAAGAGUUGGGAAGGAUGCGCCUGAUGCCUAUGUGCAGCAGUAGUGGAACACACGAGUAAAAUCGGGAGCACGCCUACGUGUUGUAGCUGGGAGAUGGACGCACGGAACAUAGAAAUUUGAUGCACGCCUACGUGCUGUAACUGGGAGAGGAAAUCCUGGGGACUACGAGAAGCCGUUACGAAGAGGGUGCGGUCUGUAGCAAGGAGAGAGAGAGAGAGAGAGAGAGAGAGAGAGAAGAUUAUGAGAAUAAAAGGAAUGGGAAUUUCUAGGUGAAGAGGUUAGCUAGUUUUCAUUCUAAUUUCCUUAAAGACUUUCUUUUCAGUUUUCUGUAUUUUCUUCGAGGAGUUUCGAUUUCAUUUUUUUGGGAUUUAUUUUGGUUCUUCUUUCGGACAACAUGAGUUCUCGAUAUUAUUUUUAGCAUUUCUUGUUAAUUUUCCAGAGUGUAUUCGAGAGGCUAUUUUUGCACUCUAAAGUUUAUCCCAUUUGGGUUUCUUUUACUGUCAGAUUUUGUGAUGGCUUUAUUUAGAUUAA